GCGGGAAUGGCGGAACGGAUGACGCGGCGGACUUAGAAUCCGUUUAUUGAGAGUUCAAAUCUCUCUUCCUGUA
This 73-nucleotide transfer RNA is filed under the name Flavobacterium sp. Its description in RNAcentral is "tRNA-Leu". It matches the Rfam family "tRNA". Rfam says of the family: Transfer RNA (tRNA) molecules are approximately 80 nucleotides in length. Their secondary structure includes four short double-helical elements and three loops (D, anti-codon, and T loops). The record is from RNAcentral. Lineage: Bacteria; Pseudomonadati; Bacteroidota; Flavobacteriia; Flavobacteriales; Flavobacteriaceae.